This is a non-coding RNA of Paramuricea clavata, 229 nucleotides long. The record is from the annotation of a GenBank genome assembly. NCBI's taxonomy places the organism in Eukaryota, Metazoa, Cnidaria, Anthozoa, Malacalcyonacea, Plexauridae.
UGCUUUUGUUCAAAUGUGUAAACAUUUCAGACGUAGUGAGACGUAUAUAUAUUCGUAUAAAAUAUUGAGAAAAUCUUUGAGAUUCUAGCCCAUUGUAUGGCGUUUACGAAGAAAAUAACUUGCGAGACUAAAGAAAAUCUCUUGACUCAUCAGAGCUCUUUAUUUAAACGAGAAAGACGAGGAGAUAGCCAACAUGUUAUCGCCAAUCGCUUGACUUGCCAGCAGGGCC